AACAGUUCAGAUUUGACCUUUGGGUCACAUGUUGAAAGGAGUGGCUUAGGGAAAUGAUGAGACCUAAUUAGUCAUCAAUCAUGUUAAUACAUCGCUAAUGCCUGUUGUUAUUUGCAAUCAGAUUUUUUUCCCCUGGAGAAAAAAAGGCAUUUAUUCAAUUAUUUAUCUAACACCUGCACAUGUACUAGACAGUGUUCUAGGUCUAAGUGAAUCAGGAGUAAAUAAGAUAAGAGCCCUACUCAGCUAGAGCUUAUGGUCUAGUGGGAGGUGACAGACAAUAAACAAGUGACCACAUGAGUUAAAUAAAAUUUGAAAAAAAAAAUAGAGGCAUUAGGUUAUUGCAUUGGGGGAUGGUAUGGACAACUUUGGAUACAAUGGUCAAGAGAUACUUCUCUGAAGAAACAACCCUGGGCUGAGACCUGACUGAGUUGAGACAUGUCUCAAGGAUAAACAUGUCAGAAAGCAGGAAAAACAGCCGAAGGGAGCUCACAGAGGGCCUCAUAGGAGUCUGCAUUUAAUCCAUAAUAUGAAGAAAAUCCAUUGGAGGAUUUCAAGCAAUAAUCAGACCUGAUUUGUGCAAUCAGAUUUUUGAUAAAGCAAAAAACCUAUUAUAUCUAAAAAAUGAAUGUCAAUUAGAAUUCUUGUUGCCAUUAAUUUCUUAUUCAUUUUUAAUUUUUGUUUAUAAGGUAUAUUUAUUUAGAGAAGACAAUAUCUUAUUAACUUUAUUAUAUAAUAAAAAUAAGAAAAAUUGUGGGACAACCAAA
Molecule: long non-coding RNA, 764 nt
Filed under: Marmota monax (woodchuck)
Lineage: Eukaryota; Metazoa; Chordata; Mammalia; Rodentia; Sciuridae
Source: RNAcentral